GGUGAGUAACACGUGGAUAAUCUACCCGAUGGACCGGGAUAACACUUCGAAAGGGGUGCUAAUACCGGAUAAGCCCACAGGCUCCCUGGAGCUUGCGGGAAAAGGUGGGGACCUUCGGGCCUGCCGUCAUCGGAUGAGUCCGCGGCCCAUUAGCUAGUUGGUGGGGUAACGGCCCACCAAGGCGACGAUGGGUAGCUGGUCUGAGAGGAUGAUCAGCCACACUGGAACUGAGACACGGUCCAGACUCCUACGGGAGGCAGCAGUGGGGAAUUUUGCGCAAUGGGGGAAACCCUGACGCAGCAACGCCGCGUGAGUGAUGAAGGCUUUCGGGUCGUAAAGCUCUGUCAGAGGGGAAGAAACUGUUGUGGUCGAACAGGCCGCAAGACUGACGGUACCCUCAAAGGAAGCACCGGCUAACUCCGUGCCAGCAGCCGCGGUAAUACGGAGGGUGCAAGCGUUGUUCGGAAUUAUUGGGCGUAAAGCGCGUGUAGGCGGUUCGUUAAGUCUGAUGUGAAAGCCCGGGGCUCAACCCCGGAAGUGCAUUGGAUACUGGCGGACUUGAGUACGGGAGAGGGAAGUGGAAUUCCGAGUGUAGGGGUGAAAUCCGUAGAUAUUCGGAGGAACACCGGUGGCGAAGGCGGCUUCCUGGACCGAUACUGACGCUGAGACGCGAAAGCGUGGGGAGCAAACA
Molecule: ribosomal RNA, 691 nt
Filed under: Pelobacter sp. enrichment culture clone SB3-12
Lineage: Bacteria; Pseudomonadati; Thermodesulfobacteriota; Desulfuromonadia; Desulfuromonadales; Desulfuromonadaceae
Description: bacterial SSU rRNA
Rfam family: Bacterial small subunit ribosomal RNA
Source: RNAcentral